CGUGUAGGCGGUCAGGUAAGUGGAAUGUGAAAUCCCUCGGCUCACCCGAGGACCUGCAUCCCAAACUGCCUGGCUUGAGUAUGGGAGAGGAUGAGGGAAUUCCUGGUGUAGCGGUGAAAUGCGUAGAUAUCAGGAGGAACACCGGUGGCGAAGGCGCUCAUCUGGCCCAAUACUGACGCUGAAGCGCGAAAGCUAGGGAGCAAACG
This 206-nucleotide ribosomal RNA is filed under the name uncultured bacterium. Its description in RNAcentral is "partial 16S ribosomal RNA". It matches the Rfam family "Bacterial small subunit ribosomal RNA", at positions 568 to 774 of the family's 1533-position model. The record is from RNAcentral.